CCCGCUGAACUUAAGCAUAUCAAUAAGCGGAGGAAAAGAAACUAACAAGGAUUCCCCUAGUAACUGCGAGUGAAGCGGGAAGAGCUCAAAUUUGAAAUCUGGCGGCUUCGCCGUCCGAGUUGUAUUCUGGAGAAGCGUUUUCCGUGCUGGACCGUGUACAAGUCCCUUGGAACAGGGCGUCGUAGAGGGUGAGAAUCCCGUCUUUGACACGGACUGCCAGUGCUCUGUGAUGCGCUCUCGAAGAGUCGAGUUGUUUGGGAAUGCAGCUCAAAAUGGGUGGUAAAUUCCAUCUAAAGCUAAAUAUUGGCGAGAGACCGAUAGCGAACAAGUACCGUGAGGGAAAGAUGAAAAGCACUUUGGAAAGAGAGUUAAACAGUACGUGAAAUUGCUGAAAGGGAAACGCUUGAAGUCAGUCGCGUUGGCUGGGAAUCAGCCUUGCUUUUGCAUGGUGUACUUUCUGGUUGACGGGUCAGCAUCAAUUUUGAUCACUGGAAAAGGCUCAAGGGAAUGUGGCAGCUUCGGCUGUGUUAUAGCCCCUGUUCACAUACAGUGGUUGGGAUUGAGGAACUCAGCACGCCGCAAGGCCGGGUUUCGACCACGUUCGUGCUUAGGAUGCUGGCAUAAUGGCUUUAAGCGACCCGUCUUGAAACACGG
Molecule: ribosomal RNA, 654 nt
Filed under: uncultured fungus
Lineage: Eukaryota; Fungi
Description: eukaryotic LSU rRNA
Rfam family: Eukaryotic large subunit ribosomal RNA
Source: RNAcentral